UGGGCCUUCUUCAUCAAGGGGUGUAACUGCUGAUGUGCACUGAAGGAGCUCUUCUUCUCUGUGUGUGAAAUCAUCUCUCUCCAAAAUAAACACCAUAUGGUCAGGGAGAAAGGGACCAGGAAAAGAGGAAGGCGCAACAGCUGAAGCUGAUAGGAGAUAAAAUGGACUGAAUGAGGGGCCAAGGGCUCAUACUGUUCCAGCAAGGAAAUCCUGGGGGCUUUCAGAGCAGUAGCAGCAGAACUGGUGAUACAUUUUGAAUAGGAUGGACUAGAAGCUGCUCUUUCUUCUUGGGUUCUGUAUCUGGAUUUUGUCAAUAUCCACUUUCUGCACCCAUUUCAUAAUAACACCAUUGAUUUAUUCAUUAAAUUAUAGGUGUCAAAAGAACUGAAUUGUGCAUCAGAGCUUUCCCAUUAGCUGAUGAAAGAGCCAUGUAAAAAAAAGAAUUCACCAGCCCCUGUGACUGAAUUUGAGCGAUAAUGUCAAUGGAAUUAACACAUUGCCAUUGUUGAAUGGUCUCCUGUGGCUAUAUAAACAUCAAGCACUUUUAAGGCCUAAUUCCAUUUCUGAAGAGGACCUUUUGAAAAAGCUGGGGCAGAACUGCCUUCAGGAAAUCCAGGAUUCUUCA
Neopelma chrysocephalum (saffron-crested tyrant-manakin) is the source of this 625-nucleotide long non-coding RNA. RefSeq lists it as uncharacterized. The record is from RefSeq and is a predicted model, not a curated record. NCBI's taxonomy places the organism in Eukaryota, Metazoa, Chordata, Aves, Passeriformes, Pipridae. The transcript has 5 exons.